GGGGUCGAUGGGCAUUUCACAAUCUCUGGUAACAAACUUCUCUUUUAUUGCUGUCAAUGAACCUUCCGCCGCAAACAGAUCGUCAGAAGAUCGAGAGAGCGGAGAGGAGAGCCGGGAGAUCUGACAAAGUUGGCGACGCGUUUCGUAUCUUCCAAUCCUUCUGAGAAUUGUGGAUUUUCUACACCAACCAGGUGAUGUCGGGAAUGCGGAACAUUCUACUCCUUCUAUGCUGUGCCGUGUCUGGUGCCGAUUUCCUCCUCCCGCCACCCACAGACAUUCAGAUCUCGGCGCUGGGCCUGGGGAGGGUCAAUGUGAGUUGGACGUACGCCCCGCCCCCGAAGAAGAACAUAAUGUUCAGUGUGAAGGCGAAGACCCCGGAGGGGGAGGGGGAGGAGGAGG
Long non-coding RNA from Rana temporaria (common frog), 399 nucleotides. RefSeq lists it as uncharacterized. The transcript is spliced from 3 exons. Lineage: Eukaryota; Metazoa; Chordata; Amphibia; Anura; Ranidae. The record is from RefSeq and is a predicted model, not a curated record.